This 418-nucleotide unclassified non-coding RNA is filed under the name Hevea brasiliensis (rubber tree). Lineage: Eukaryota; Viridiplantae; Streptophyta; Magnoliopsida; Malpighiales; Euphorbiaceae. The record is from RNAcentral.
GACCUUGGGGAUGGAGUGCGGAGGCAAGGGAGAACUGGGCGGGGUUUUACAACAAGGGCUCAUGUGCCAGUAUCAGUUGAGAAGGUUGGCAAUAUCAGAACAGCGAAACAGCUUAGAAGUGCUAGACUUAGUUUUGAUAAAAAUGAAAGCAAGACAGGUCGUCCACCAAGUAGAAAACUUUCUGACCGUAAAGCAUAUAAACGUCAAAAGCAUACAACAGUCAAUGCAGCAGCAGAUUUUCUUGUUGGCUCAGGGGAUGGGCAUGAAGAGCUUUUGGCUGCUGCAAGUGCUGUGAUUAACCCCGUUCAUGCAUUUUCCAGCUCAUUUUGGAGGCAAAUGGAUCCAUUCUUUGGUUUUAUAUCUGACUCAGACAUUGAUCACUUGAAGAAACAGGAAAUUAUUGAAUCUACUGUGGCAC